Molecule: unclassified non-coding RNA, 327 nt
Filed under: Hevea brasiliensis (rubber tree)
Lineage: Eukaryota; Viridiplantae; Streptophyta; Magnoliopsida; Malpighiales; Euphorbiaceae
Source: RNAcentral
UUGAUCAAUGUGGCUACAUAAAUUUUGGAAUUGCUUCUGAAAAGGAUAAAGCUGAAAAUGGUGCUGAACACAGCUUGAAAAUUUUGAAGGAAGAGAAGACUAUAGAAAAAUCUGGAGCUUCUGUUGCUGAUAGAGAUGAUGGAGUUUCUUUUAUUCUUGGGAGGUCAAAGAGUUCUGAGAUUAUCAUGCCGGAGAAGAAUGAUGUCUUAUCUGAUGAAGGGAAAAAGACAGAAAAAUGUGGAGCUGAUUGCCAGCUCAUUGAUAGGCGGGCCAUAGAGUUAUCUACUUUGGCAGAGCCGCGAGAAUGUCCUAUUGAUGAUUGCCGUG